RNAcentral lists this non-coding RNA (108 nucleotides) under Escherichia coli. Its description in RNAcentral is "antisense sRNA RprA". It matches the Rfam family "RprA RNA". Rfam says of the family: Translational regulation of the stationary phase sigma factor RpoS is mediated by the formation of a double-stranded RNA stem-loop structure in the upstream region of the rpoS messenger RNA, occluding the translation initiation site. Clones carrying rprA (RpoS regulator RNA A) increased the translation of RpoS. RNAcentral also lists the same sequence under 7 other names. The record is from RNAcentral. Lineage: Bacteria; Pseudomonadati; Pseudomonadota; Gammaproteobacteria; Enterobacterales; Enterobacteriaceae.
ACGGUUAUAAAUCAACAUAUUGAUUUAUAAGCAUAGAAAUCCCCUGAGUGAAACAACGAAUUGCUGUGUGUAGUCUUUGCCCAUCUCCCACGAUGGGCUUUUUUUUAA